AAAAAAACAAACCGGAUUAGGGGAUGCAAAUCUGCAUGCAUCUACCUGGUAAAAGGUCCCAUGGUCAGAGACGCCGAGUACUCGGGACUGAAACCAAGUCUUCCUCGUUGCAACUUCAGCGAGUCGGUUAUCAGUCGAGUAAUAGCAUUUCAACCUAACGGGCACAUCCCGUGUGUGAAGGCAUUGAUAUAAUUUUUCUUUAAGUUUAGCUAUAGUGAAAAUGUGAAUUAGUUUUGAAAAAAAAAAAACAGUGGUAGACCUUAGCAAUUUCCAAAAGUUCUAAACAAAAGAUAAUGUGGAAAAAAAAUCAAAGUUCUGUCAGCUAAUUGCACCUAUUUUUCUGUGGUGUCAUUUGUUGUUGAGAUGACUCACAACUCUUGGCGCUGGAAAAUUUCGGCAUGUAUCUGUUGCUCUAUGAAGGGACUUUAACUUUGCAUUUCGAGGUCGAAGCCUAUGUGCGUGUACAUAUUCUUAUGUAUACACAUAUCUAUAACGCUUUUUAUGGAAAAAUUUUGCCAGCUCUGCCAAAAUGCAUGCAAAUGAAAGACUUUUGUUUGGUGCCACACAGGAAAAUGAAAAAUCCAACACGACACGACACUUGAGAGAUGAAGCGUAAAAACAUACUUCAAAUCGUACAGUGCCAGUGUGUGGUGGCAUCACACGAAAGCGAAAGAGAUGAAAUCGGGCGAGUAAGGCGCUCCUACUCGCACACGAAUCGACGAAGAGCUGGGAAAAUGUUUGCAUUUGAAGCGGAAAGAAGCGAGACGGCUAUAGACCAGAGGAAUGCAAAGCGAAAUAGAAGAGUGAGCGUCAAAUUGAAAAAUAAAUACCAACAGUUGUCUCAGUGUGUAUAACAGUUGAGUGGCCAAAAAGUCCCUCACCACAGGGUGCACAAUACAUGUCGUUUUUGUUCUGAAUACAGAAUUGAAGGUGAAAACAAUUGUUGUGCGGAUAAGUUUGAAUACAAAAUUAUUAUUUGGCAUUUAUCUUUUGGAAGUUGUUAAGGUCUGCCAUCCUUUAGACUUUGAGGAGGGAGAGAUUAGGCUGACAGAAACUAGACGGAAACUAGACAGAUUUAAAGUUAGUUAGCUUUCAGCUAAAGAUGUUUUCGAUUAUUGAGAUCAUUAACGGGGGUUUUCGAAAUUUUGAAAAAUUUGUAGUUUUUUAAUUCAGUUUAGAACAUAGUUCAGAUACUAGACCUGUAUUUUAAAUAUAUGUUUCAAGAUGAGAGAGUAGUCAACAAAACUUGAAACCAGUUUUAUUUUUUCGAAGAUUUUCAUGUGUAAAUUCGUUUAAAGCGAAUGUCAUUUCACUCAUUACACUCAUAAUUUCACAAUAUUCAUCUAAAAACACACACAAACAAAUAUUUCAUAUUCACACACACAAACAACAAUAACACAUCUACUAAAAUAUGUGAAAUCAAAUUUAUUUCGAAAAAUGUAGCAAAAAAAAAAAAAAAAAUUUUGAAACGUUUUCCGAAAUGUAGCGAAAAGAAUUUUCGAAUUGCGUAGAACCGAAACGUGUUUCGAAAGUUUUUUGUUAAAAAAAAACUUAGAAAUACGGUAAAAAAAAAA
Molecule: small RNA, 1574 nt
Filed under: Drosophila willistoni
Lineage: Eukaryota; Metazoa; Arthropoda; Insecta; Diptera; Drosophilidae
Description: GK27760
Source: RNAcentral